GAUGAACGCUAGCUACAGGCUUAACACAUGCAAGUCGAGGGGUAACGAGAGGAAAGCUUGCUUUCCUUGUCGACGACCGGCGCACGGGUGAGUAACGCGUACCCAACCUGCCCCCAACUAGGGAAUAACCUUGCGAAAGUAAGACUAAUACCCUAUAAUUUCCUCAGAUGCCAUCUGACGAGGAAUAAAGAUUUAUCGGUUGUGGAUGGGGAUGCGUCUGAUUAGCUUGGUGGCGGGGUAACGGCCCACCAAGGCAACGAUCAGUAGGGGUUGUGGGAGGAAGGUCCCCCACAUUGGAACUGAGACACGGUCCAAACUCCUACGGGAGGCAGCAGUGAGGAAUAUUGGUCAAUGGGCGGAAGCCUGAACCAGCCAAGUAGCGUGCAGGAUGACGGCCCUAUGGGUUGUAAACUGCUUUUAUACAGGAAUAAAGUUAGCCACGUGUGGUUAUUUGUAGGUACUGUAUGAAUAAGGACCAGCUAAUUCCGUGCCAGCCGCCGCUGUAA
Molecule: ribosomal RNA, 506 nt
Filed under: uncultured bacterium
Lineage: Bacteria
Description: partial 16S ribosomal RNA
Rfam family: Bacterial small subunit ribosomal RNA
Source: RNAcentral